RNAcentral lists this long non-coding RNA (1935 nucleotides) under Nicotiana tabacum (common tobacco). RNAcentral's name for it is "long non-coding RNA (NTAB_LNC016401)". Lineage: Eukaryota; Viridiplantae; Streptophyta; Magnoliopsida; Solanales; Solanaceae. The record is from RNAcentral.
GUUCAGUUUAUGGUUUAAAACCCUAACGCUGACUGAAUGGAAAAAGUUCAGUUUAGGGUUUAAAACCCUAAUGCUGACUGCAUGGAAAAGCUCAGUUUAGGGUUUAAAACCCUAAUGCUGGCUGAAUGAAAAAGUUCAGUUUAGGGUUUAAAACCCUAAUGCUGGCUGAAUGAAAAAGUUCAGUUUAUGGUUUAAAACCCUAAUGCUGACUGAAUGGAAAAAAUUCAGUUUAGGGUUUAAAACCCUAAUGCUGGCUGAAUGAAAAAGUUCAGUUUAGGGUUUAAAACCCUAAGACUGAUUGAAAGGAAAAGUUCAGUUUAGGGUUUAAAACCCUAACGCUGACUAAAAGGGAAAAGUUCAGUUUAGGGUUUAAAACCCUAAUGCUGACUGCAUGGAAAAGCUCAGUUUAGGGUUUAAAGCCCUAAUGCUGGCUGAAUGAAAAAGUUCAGUUUAGGGUUUAAAACCCUAAGACUGGCUGAAUGAAAAAGUUCAGUUUAGGGUUUAAAACCCUAAUGCUGACUGCAUGGAAAAGCUCAGUUUAGGGUUUAAAACCCUAAUGCUGGCUGAAUGAAAAAGUUCAGUUUAGGGUUUAAAACCCUAAUGCUGAUUGAAAGGAAAAGUUCAGUUUAGGGUUUAAAACCCUAAUGCUAACUGCAUGGAAAAGCUCAGUUUAGGGUUUAAAACCCUAAUGCUGGCUGAAUGAAAAAGUUCAUUUUAGGGUUUAAAACCCUAAGGCUGAUUGAAAGGAAAAGUUCAGUUUAGGUUUUAAAACCCUAAUGCUGACUAAAAGGAAAAAGUUCAGUUUAUGGUUUAAAGCCCUAAUGCUGACUGAAUGGAAAAGUUCAGUUUAUGGUUUAAAGCCCUAAUGCUGACUGAAUGGAAAAGCUCAGUUUAGGGUUUAAAACCCUAAUGCUGGCUGAAUGAAAAAGUUCAUUUUAGGGUUUAAAACCCUAAGGCUGAUUGAAAGGAAAAGUUCAGUUUAGGUUUUAAAACCCUAAUGCUGACUAAAAGGAAAAAGUUCAGUUUAGGGUUUAAAACCCUAAUGCUGACUGCAUGGAAAAGCUCAGUUUAGGGUUUAAAACCCUAAUGCUGGCUGAAUGAAAAAGUUCAGUUUAGGGUUUAAAACCCUAAUGCUGGCUGAAUGAAAAAGUUCAGUUUAUGGUUUAAAACCCUAAUGCUGACUGAAUGGAAAAAAUUCAGUUUAGGGUUUAAAACCCUAAUGCUGACUGAAUGGAAAAGCUUAGUUUAGGGUUUAAAACCCUAAUGCUGGCUGAAUGAAAAAGUUUAGUUUAGGGUUUAAAACCCUAAGGCUGAUUGAAAGGAAAAGUUCAGUUUAGGGUUUAAAACCCUAAUGCUGACUAAAAGGGAAAAGUUCAGUUUAGGGUUUAAAACCCUAAUGCUGACUGCAUGGAAAAGCUCAGUUUAGGGUUUAAAACCCUAAUGCUGGCUGAAUGAAAAAAAUUCAGUUUAGGGUUUAAAACCCUAAUGCUGACUGAAUGGAAAAAGUUCAGUUUAGGGUUUAAAACCCUAAUGCUGACUGGCUGGGGACAAAGUUCGAGAAUACUAACCGACCUCUUUUUUUUUUGAAUUUUCUUGUUUUAGAAGAUAAAAGGGAGUUUCGUGGAAACUUACCUUUCGAGUGAAUUCCUUAUUGCCAAAAUAUUUCUUGUACCCACGUACCUUCUUCUUUGGGCGACACCUGCUUCUUGCACGGUUGUCUUGGAUUAUACCUGUUUCAACUUUUCAGACAAAGAACAAUUGUUAGUUCGGAAAUGACGGUCGGUUCGGUGACCUUGAUCGUUCCCAGUUGCUUUGUUGCGUCUUUAUUUCUAUUGCGAAGUCCCGCCAUUGAUUUGAUUCAAAUGGCGAAACCCUUUAGACUGCUCAGGCUUGUAUUUCCAGAUUCUGUGAUGACUUGCCUCGUAAGGCUCUUUU